GGAGAGGUGCGAGAGUGGUUGAAUCGGGCUCCCUGCUAAGGAGUUGUGUGGGUUGACUGCACCGAGGGUUCGAAUCCCUCCCUCUCCGCCA
This 91-nucleotide transfer RNA is filed under the name Olavius algarvensis spirochete endosymbiont. RNAcentral describes it as "tRNA-Ser-GCT". It matches the Rfam family "tRNA". From Rfam's summary of the family: Transfer RNA (tRNA) molecules are approximately 80 nucleotides in length. The record is from RNAcentral. Lineage: Bacteria; Pseudomonadati; Spirochaetota; Spirochaetia; Spirochaetales.